Non-coding RNA from Oryzias latipes (Japanese medaka), 826 nucleotides. The record is from RefSeq and is a predicted model, not a curated record. Lineage: Eukaryota; Metazoa; Chordata; Actinopteri; Beloniformes; Adrianichthyidae.
AACCUGCAAAGCCGACAUCAGUCAGAACCUUCAAACCCAAACCGGUUCUGGACGCUGUCCAGAUGCAGGGGGGGGGGGGUUACUGACCUGCCAGCCCCACGUUGGCAGAGUUCGCCACGGCCACCGCCUCCUCCUCCGUCUCAAACCUGCAAUCAGAAAACCUCUUAUCCCUUUAUCGGGCAAGUGACUGUUUCUGGUAAUUUCCGCAUAUGUUAGUUAUCACGCCCAUCCCCCGUCUCAGUGAGUUCAAGAAUCAUGGGAUCUUUACCCAGCCAAUCAGCAAAGAUCAUCCUACAUUAUAGGCUACUCAAUUGUGCAACUUGACCAAUCAGCAGAGAGCAGGGUCACAUCAAAUUUCCCUUUUUCUCCAAAAUCAGAAAAAGUUGCUUUUGCAGCUCAGUUCACUGGACAUUUUCAAAGGAAUCGUCAAAACUAACCAUGCUUCCAUCAAUCUUUCAUGGCAAGAGGAGGGAGACUGCUGUUGUGCCAGUCCACCCUGACAUUAGUGAUGAUGAUGAGGAUCAAGAUGAUGACGUGUCAGACCCCGACUUCGCCCCACCCACCAACAACCAGGACAUUCCCAGACCCUCACACACAGUUGUGUGAAGGUCUAUUCAACACUUUUGUUAUCAGCACUUUUAUGUUCUAAAAGUGAUGUUCAAAUGUUCAAAUACAUAUGUGUUUUCUUAUAUUUAUAUAUAUAUAUAUAUGUAUACUUAUUGGAAUUUGUUUUCCCACUCACGGGCAAGUGACCAAAUAUGGUCACUUCAUUGGCAUUGAUAUUCUACAUGAAAAUAAAAAAAAAUUAAAAAAAUGUCACCAAUGA